AGCGUCAGCGGCGCUUGCUCGGCGGGAUCGUGCGUCGUCUCGGAUCGGAUUCUUCGGUCCUGGGAUGACGUUAAUCUUUCCAUGCCUUGUUUCGGCGUCGUCGUCGUGCACUUCUUCCCUAGUAGAACGUCGCGACCCGUUGGGUGCCGGUCUACGGUACGAGCGGGUUAGACUGUCGCGUCGCUUAGGCGCACGCGGCAGACCCUCGUUAAUCCGGCCGGCUGCCCGGCGGUCGAACUUUUAUAAGGUAUCUUGCCGCAAUUGAACUAAAUGCGUCGCGGCCCGUCGCAAGCGAGGUCAGUUAAGCGUUCAUCGCGCGCGCGGAGUUACGGACCCGGUGCCGUACCCGCGGCUGGCCGGCUGUUGGCAGACGGAGUCCUUCGACGGGCAAUACACACAAACGAUACCGGUCUGCGACGCUACUGCUUUGGGUACUCUCAGGACCCGUCUUGAAACACGGACCAAGGAGUCUAACAUGUGCGCGAGUCAUUGGGACUGCGAAGCCUAAAGGCGAAAUGAAAGUGAAGGUCGCGCCAACCAAGGUCGACCGAGGGAGGAUGGGCCGCGUUUGCGCGCGGCUCCGCACUCCCGGGGCGUCUCGUUCUCAUUGCGAGAAGAGGCGCACCCAGAGCGUACACGUUGGGACCCGAAAGAUGGUGAACUAUGCCUGGUCAGGACGAAGUCAGGGGAAACCCUGAUGGAGGUCCGUAGCGAUUCUGACGUGCAAAUCGAUCGUCGGAACUGGGUAUAGGGGCGAAAGACUAAUCGAACCAUCUAGUAGCUGGUUCCCUCCGAAGUUUCCCUCAGGAUAGCUGGCACUCGUUCGUUUAUAAUUGAACGUAAAGGAGUCUCAUCUGGUAAAGCGAAUGAUUAGAGGCCUUGGGGCCGAAACGACCUCAACCUAUUCUCAAACUUUAAAUGGGUGAGAUCUCUGGCUUGCUUGAAAUAUGAAGCCACGAGAGAGAUAUUUCGGAUCAGAGUGCCAAGUGGGCCAAUU
RNAcentral lists this ribosomal RNA (997 nucleotides) under Metapolybia docilis. RNAcentral's name for it is "eukaryotic LSU rRNA". It matches the Rfam family "Eukaryotic large subunit ribosomal RNA", at positions 498 to 1136 of the family's 3401-position model. The record is from RNAcentral. Lineage: Eukaryota; Metazoa; Arthropoda; Insecta; Hymenoptera; Vespidae.